GGUUACAUGUGGGAUGACAGCCGCGGGCAAGCCAGGGCUUCAUAAACGCACGAGACACGUACGCACACUCGAGGAGAGAACCUCGAAUGACCCCCAUGCUCCUCGCCUCACUAAAGGAGGGGAGGAACCCCGAGCAAGGCUCACCGCAAACGCUAGCGCUGCUCACCUAAGCCGCGGGUCGGCGUCAGACUGACUGCCACUUUGCAAAGUGCAACUCCUACCCCAAAACACCAGCACCAACAGGGCAGGGCCCUCACACUGUUGGGUGCAGCCCGAAGCUGCAUCCUGUCGACGGCCUAGGGCCGGUCCGACCCACCAGACAGCACAAGCCACAGCGCCCGCACCCUAGCGCAGGCGGUGCAGGCACGCCCACCGCCCAACCAAGUCCACACAGCCGCGCAACACCCUAGCACAGCAGACAGCGCAAGCCAGCCUUCGCUUAGUCGGCCUGCGCCAGCCAGCCUUCGCUGGACUGCCUUCGCCAGACUGCAUUCGCCAAGCAGGUCUCUCCACUGGCCACACCACGAGGUGUGUAGAUGCGCCCACAGCUCCAGCCGCCGCCGCCCGGAAGACGCCGGUCCUGGCUCCCGCCGCAGCGUGCCCCGAAAGAGCCGCUCAGCGACACGCCACUGCGAGCCCGGCAGCAGCGAGCGCCCCGCCAGAAGCAUCGCGAAGCCAUGAGGACGAGGUCGAACGGCGAGCAGGCGCGCCACCCACGCUAGGUCGCGAAGGCUCCACGGUGUGAAGUCAUGAUGUUCGGCAAAGAUUGCCAGAGCGGGGUCCGCUCGGCAGGACGGCGACGAUGAUGUCGCCGACUGAGUGGCGCGCCGCAGCCAGAGCAGUACUGACGCACUACAGCUGACCUAAGCAACGCCAGGGACGCCAUGGAGGCGCCACAGGGGAUUGGCGCGGCCACGAAGGCCGGCCAGGAACUACUACCGACAAGGAGGGUUAGGGCGCCGAGGCGCCCUAACGCAACCAAGCGGAGUAGAACGAGUUCAAUAGCUGAUAGAGGUUACAUGUGGGACGACAGCCGUGGACUAGCCAGGGCCCCAAAAACGUACGAGACACGCACGCUCACCCGAGGAGAGAUCCCCGAAUGACCCCCAUGCUCCUCGCCUCCGGAGAGGGGAGGAACCCCAGGCCCGGCUCACCGCAAACGCUAGCGCUGCUCACCUAAGCCGUGGGUCGGCGUCAUAAGACUACCUCUUAUUGCGAGUCCCUAAGCUGACAAGCUAGGGUGAGGCCGGUGGCGAGUCCGCUGUUGGCCCUACCAAGAUAACCCCUCCAACAUCAUCUGACGCUAGGAAUGGGUGCUGGUUCGGGACAAGGUCCCAGCGGCGCGGAGGCCGACGCAGACUCACAAACGCAGCUAGCCGUGACCAGAAGUCCGCAAUCACCUCCACACCGAUCCUUCGCACAACAGCAACCUCCGCAGUCCGGUCUGCAGCAUCACGGCAAGCGUAAAGGCGCUGUCGGCCGUAUUCCAGGGCCGCCACAGCAGCCAAGCACACGAUGUCCCACACCGCCUGCGAUAGCCCUGGUGGCGCCUGUACUCAAUAGCGAAUAGAGGUUACAUGUGGGACGACAGCCGCGGGCAAGCCAGGGCUUCAUAAACGCACGAGACACGUACGCACACUCGAGGAGAGAACCUCGAAUGACCCCCAUGCUCCUCGCCUCACUAAAGGAGGGGAGGAACCCCGAGCAAGGC
Molecule: long non-coding RNA, 1711 nt
Filed under: Chlamydomonas reinhardtii
Lineage: Eukaryota; Viridiplantae; Chlorophyta; Chlorophyceae; Chlamydomonadales; Chlamydomonadaceae
Description: long non-coding RNA (CREI_LNC001005)
Source: RNAcentral